UACGUAGGGGGCUAGCGUUGUCCGGAAUCAUUGGGCGUAAAGCGCGUGUAGGCGGCCCGGUAAGUCCGCUGUGAAAGUCGGGGGCUCAACCCUCGGAUGCCGGUGGAUACUGUCGGGCUCGAGUACGGAAGAGGCGAGUGGAAUUCCUGGUGUAGCGGUGAAAUGCGCAGAUAUCCGGAGGAACACCAAUGGCGAAGGCAGCUCGCUGGGACGGUACUGACGCUGAGACGCGAAAGCGUGGGGAGCGAACAGG
Molecule: ribosomal RNA, 253 nt
Filed under: uncultured bacterium
Lineage: Bacteria
Description: partial 16S ribosomal RNA
Rfam family: Bacterial small subunit ribosomal RNA
Source: RNAcentral